UACGAAGGGGGCAAGCGUUGUUCGGAAUUACUGGGCGUAAAGGGCGCGUAGGCGGCCGAUCAAGUCAGGCGUGAAAUUCCCGGGCUCAACCUGGGGGCUGCGCUUGAUACUGAUUGGCUUGAAUGCGGGAGAGGAUAGUGGAAUUCCCAGUGUAGAGGUGAAAUUCGUAGAUAUUGGCUGGAACACCGGUGGCGAAAGCGGCUCUCUGGCCCGGUUCUGACGCUGAGGCGCGAAAGCGUGGGGAGCAAACAGG
Molecule: ribosomal RNA, 253 nt
Filed under: uncultured bacterium
Lineage: Bacteria
Description: partial 16S ribosomal RNA
Rfam family: Bacterial small subunit ribosomal RNA
Source: RNAcentral